CAAAGAUGCACUGAGUUUCAAGACAAAGUGAGCAGUUGGGUGCCAGACUGAUCUCCUGGUUAUGAAAGGAUGCCGGGACCUACCAGAAUGAUUAAAGAUGCAUGAGAUGCAGAGAGACCUGGCACUCAACACAUCCACAAUAAGAUGAUUACUAAUAGUACAGUACAUCACAAAUGUCCAGUAAUAGCAACUUUUACUUCCAUUUGUCACUGAUGAACUCUGCCUCAACUCUGCCUAUUUCUACAGAUGGACUAGAGAUGCUUUUUGCAGUCUGUCGUUUGAUGGGUAGACCAUAAUUGGAUGCUAGUACACGAGUGCUUGGCAGCAUGCAGGCCUGCUGAGGGAUGGCCAGUCGGUGAAAAGCCCAGCAGCUGUUGGAUGCGUAGCUGCCUGUCCAAAAAUCUG
This is a long non-coding RNA of Oncorhynchus tshawytscha (Chinook salmon), 405 nucleotides long. NCBI's taxonomy places the organism in Eukaryota, Metazoa, Chordata, Actinopteri, Salmoniformes, Salmonidae. The record is from Ensembl.